Molecule: long non-coding RNA, 31793 nt
Filed under: Ananas comosus (pineapple)
Lineage: Eukaryota; Viridiplantae; Streptophyta; Magnoliopsida; Poales; Bromeliaceae
Description: long non-coding RNA (ACOM_LNC018584)
Source: RNAcentral
AUAUGUUUAAAAUUAGAUACCAUAUGCAAUUUUCAGAUAAUUUUUUCAGAAUAAUAAUAUAAAUUACUUCGCAGAUAAAAUAUAUCAUUCUAUCAAAUUAUUAAUAUUAAGAUCUUUUAAGAAAAAAGAAAUUAAACUUCUUUCUCACCACCAUAUUUAAUUUUUAGAAUAAGUUAUUCAGAAGCCUAAUCCUAAUCUCAGAAUAAUAUAUCUUAGGUGUUAUAACAGUUAAGUAUGACUGUUUCAUUCCCUUCUGUUGAAAUCCGAACGGCGAAAAAUAGAUCCAGAAAAUAAUUUAAUACAAGAAAAGAUAAGAUAAGAAAAGAACACACCGAUAUUUACGUGGUUCGGCCAACGGCCUACGUCCACGGGCGAAGACGGAGCAAAUAAUUUAUUAAUGUCGAAAAGGCGGAGUACAAGAAAGAUCUCUCAAAAGACCAAAAUUUAAUUAGGUCCGAACGCCGCAACAAGCUACUCCGAAAAGAGCUUCUCUAAGAGCUUCUCUCAACCUAAUCUGUACGGAUUCCAAAUUAGCACUAAUUAGUGCAUACGCUCCUUCACCGGUACGGACUCCCAAAAAAUUGGCUUCUCUCUCACCACCCGUACGCGGCCUUAAUUAAUUUGGAUGGAUCUUAAUUGUGUCGCGGCAUCUUAAUUUGGUCGCUACAGGAGUUUCGGCUCCUCAAUGCUCUAUAUAUAAUAUAUACUAGAGCCUUAAUUAGAGUCGGAUUCAUCCAAAUUAAUUUGAGUCUAACUCAAAUUAAUAUUGCCGUGACCAAUGGCAAGUUGCCAACUCAUUAUUUGUACCGAAUCUCAAUUCUAAUCUAUUUCAACUUAAUCUUUGCUCCAUAUAUGCCAAUUUAUAUAAUCCCUAAUUAGAUUAGAAUUUAUCCUCAAUUUAGAUAACUACAAAUAUAAACCAAAUUAUAACACCUCUCUCUCUUCAUGUGUGUGUGUGUGUGUGUGUGUGUGUGUGUGUGUGUUGGUUGAGAGUGGACAAAGUACGUUACUGGCACCCGUGACCGUUGCAUGUGAUCAGGAGGAGCUGUUGUGAGCAGAGCCCUCCCAUGGACCCAUGCCCCCUCACUCACGUGUCUCCUUUUGGCUUUUGCAACCAAAUACCCACUAAUACUCCAAAUGAACAAAAAAUAACUAGUCAAUUAAUCCACUACAAAAGACCUCUAAGCAUAUACCAUUCAUCUUACCCAACAAAAUUGAUGCGCUUGAAAAGUAACUUAAAAAUAAUUUCUUAUUAAUGCAGAGAAUUUUUAUCGGUAUAUGAAGUUUGAGAUGUCAGUGUACAUCAGUAACCUAUAAUGACAUAAUGAUAUUUUACAGUUUACCCAACUCAUUUCUCUACCUCUAAACAGGUAUGUUAGUUAAAAACCUAAGAAAAAUUUAUGUGACAAAAGGAUAUCCAUAUAUACCAACAAUGGGAUAUAAAAAACCAGCUAAUCAUAGUACACAUUGCCAACUAUGUAGACAAUUAAACAAGGCAUUUUCUAUUAUGUGGUUCCGACCAUUAGGACAAACCAUCUAUGCCAUAAACAUUCUCAUCUGAGUAAUUAUUUCAAAGGGUUAUAUAGAAAUAUAUAUAACCUCCUCUAUUGUUUUAUGUGGACAUGAGCAUCCUUUUCUUAUUGAAACUGUAUAUAUGGACCACUUGGCCAAGGUAGUCAGAAGUUUUGAGAACUAAUUACUUCAACCAAUUCUCACAAAAAGAGAUGGAAAAAAAGCCCUCUACAAAAGAGAUUCAAUGUGAUAGCACAAGCAAAAGGCAUGAAGGGGACAUUUAAAUUCCUUGGCAGUUGAAAAAAACUUCAGUAUUCUGUUCUCUCAACUGUGGGGCAAGAGUGGAUCAAUGUGGCAUUAGCUUUUAGAGAGAGAGAGAGAGAGAGAGAGAGAGAGAGCCUUUGUAUGGUUAUUUAAACCUAACCUUCCCUCCUCCAACACUCACCCUCUCUUUCUCUCUCUUUCUCUCUCUCUCUCUCUGUUCUCUCUUUCACAUAACUCUGCUUGAUACACUACACAAAGAUACAAACACAAAGAUGAGAAGUUUUAGGCUAAAGGGCGUCUGGGUGCUCCUUUUCAUUGUCCUCAUUGCACUGUGCUCCACAUUUGAUGCAUGUGAAGGGAGAAGAGGCAAGCAUUGGAGGGCAAACAGAGCUCCCUAUACAUCCUUGGCUAAGAAGAAAACUAAAGGAAAGGUGGUCGGAGGCGGCAGCGGUCGCCACCGUAGCGGCAGCGGCGGUAGCCGUCGAGCCCAUGCCCGAGCACACCGUCAAGCCCAAGUCCGGUUUCGCGGCCUAGAGUUGUGUUUGAUGUAGUUGAGUAUGGAGCAAAGGGUGAUGGAUACACAGAUGACACUAAGGUGGCCUACAUUGUUCUUUCAGAUGCUCUAAUUGAUUCUAACUUAUUUAUUAUGUUUAAAUUUAAAUUAGUUUUGUGUUAGCUUUUUAACAAGAUAAAACUAAAAUUUUUUAACCUUGAAUUUUGGAUUCUUUAUUUUGCUUUAAUACCUUAACUAAUUAAUUGUUCAUGAAAACUGUGAAGAAUGAUUUACCUCCAUGUCCCUGUUUUAGACAGGGGCGUAGGCAGAGUCACAAGAUGGAUUUUGUGUACUUGCUUUGUCGUUUUUCCAUGAUAGGCAUGAGAAAAUAAUAUUUUCCUUAUUCUAAUAUUUGUGUUUUUUCAACAAAAAUAAAAAUAAAAAGGAAUCCCUUAUUUUAAAGUUGUGUGCUGUAUCAGUGAAAUGAUAAGUUGUUCCUAAAACAUUCUGAAUUAAGAGCAAUAAAAAGUUUGAUUACAUAUAUUAGAAAUGUAGAUAUCACUGUAUUAUUGGUUUUAUCUCAUAUGCUAUGCAAAUAACAACAUGCUAUAAACUAAUUGACAAAUUUACUUCAUUUCUUCCUUCUUUUUUUUUCAACCAAGCCGAAAAGCAGUUUUACCAAGUAGUUGGUUCCAUGUAAAAUGUUUUCAAGAGUUUUACAUAUUUUAAGAAAAACCGGCAUUUUCCUACAUAUAAAUACAAACAUAAAAAUGAAAACAUGUAGCUCAAACAGAUAUAUACCAAGAACUAUUUUCAUUUUGAGUAUUGUUAUACCGACUUGUACUACAGCAUUUUGCUAAUACAGUAAGAUAAAGGUUGUAAUUGGAUGAUUGAUAAUUAAUUCACGAGAACAAUUGUUUAAUUUGUAGACAGAAUGGUAACUAUACUGUAGCUAGUAAAAAACUAAUAAGAAAGCUGUCAUCUAAGCAUAUCUCUAAAAAGCUGCCAAAAUUUCUAAAUUGACAAAGCAUUUUUCCUAUCAUUUGACACCCUAAAGAACAACCGUAAACAUAAAUUUUAAUUGUUUUGAGGAAAUGAGCAAUGUACAUAUGAUGCAGAACAUAGUGAGAAACAAAGAGUUUGUAAUGAAUGCAGGCAUUUGAAGCCGCAUGGGCGGCAGCAUGUAAGGUGCAGGCAUCAACGGUUUUAGUACCUGCGGAGUAUGAGUUCCUUGUGGGCCCCAUCUCAUUCUCCGGACCUUAUUGUCAACCCAACAUUGUUUUCCAGGUAACCGCAAGUUUUCUCCACUCCAAAAAUUCUCUACGAUGCUGCACCUUGUCAUAGUAAUAAUUUAUUAUUGCACUGUAACAAUAUGGCAAUAAAAAAAAGAGUGAUACCUUUGUCGAUGAUGAACCCGUCCGAUUCAAUCAAUAAGUCCAAUGUCUACAUUGGGUUCAGGUCUCCAGAACAAACUUACAACAUUCCUAAGUAGUUUGUUGAAUUCUGUUAAAAAGUUACUGAGAGAAGGAGCUGAAGAAGUUUUCUCAGAAUAGAGAAAGAAGGGGAAAAACAGUCCAGGACCAUUUUCAACUAACCAUAAUUAUAGGAGUGUUUGUAUGUCCUAACUACACACACCUUUUUUACGAGUAAUUAAUCCCAUUUAUAGUAGACACGAGAAAUUAUCAUUCUAACCAAUUCAAGAUUGAGAAUAAUGCAUAGAACCACAUUAAUCUACAAAAAGAAAAAAAAGAAAAAGAAAAAAGAAGGUAAAUAACAUAGAGAUUUUUCAACCUUUGCAGUUAGAUGGAAAGAUCAUGGCUCCGACAAGUGCCAAAUAUUGGGGCUUAGGGUUGCUACAAUGGCUUGAAUUUACCAAGCUAAAAGGAAUUACAAUUCGGGGCAGCGGCACCAUAGAGGGACAAGGCAGUGUUUGGUGGACCAACACGGGUGAUUACGAUGUUGAUCCUGUAAGAUUCCUCAUUUAUAUACCAUUGUUUAAUUACUUGAAAUUGAAAAAAGGAACGUUGGACUUAGCGCCCAUCUGCCCUGGCUUUAGCUUCUAUCAAUAAUUUGUUUGAGUUAAUUGAAGCACUUAAUAGCUUUUUCAGUUCGAUAAGUUGUUCCAAAAACCAAAAACCAGACCAAAUAAGGGUUCAAAAAGAUAUCAAACUAGACCUACUUUUAACCUAAUUCUCACUCUGCUAAUUGUGCAAUGAUACAUGCCUAAAUGCUACAAUCUCACCAGUUACUGGUAAAACCUCUAAUAAUUCUGUAAUUUUAAGAAUCAAAUUUCAUUAGAAAAGUAAAUAAUGAACUUACAAUGUUUACAUGGGUUGAUUUGUGAGCAGAUAACCGAUGAGCUAAGUGAAAAGAUGCCACAGAUAAAACCAACAGUAAGUCUAGCCUGUUAAACUUAUCCUGUCAUAACUUAUUCUGUCGUGACUUAUUCUGCUGAAAUUUUGUUGCAGGCUCUGAGAUUCUACGGGAGUUAUAAUGUAACAGUGACUGGUAUAACAAUCCAGAACAGUCCGCAGUGCCACCUCAAAUUUGAUAGCUGUGAAGCAGUUUUUGUUCACGACAUCACCAUCUCUUCUCCUGGCGACAGCCUAAACACUGAUGGAAUUCAUCUGCAGAACUCCAGAGAUGUUACCAUCCACCACAGUAACUUGGCUUGCGGUAAAUUUCUCACCUCAUUCAGCUCAACUCAGUGCAAAGUUUAAGAUAUAACCAGAUAUCUCUAGGUGAAAAUUAUACUCAUUUUUCAAAAAAUAAAGCUGGAAACUCAAAUUACAACUUUCAAAAUCAAAAUUUUCAGGUUUUUCUGCUUUCUGAAAGAUUGGUGUAUCUGAAAAUUGUCUAAGUUAUUCAUAAAGAAUCACCCUAUUCUCAACUUUCAAAGGAAAAAAAUAAAAUAAAAUUGUCUAGGUUGUUCAGGCCCAUUCCAUUAUCCAUUAGUUGGAUUUUCCAGUAAAGUAGCAUCUGAGCUUCCUAGCUACCUCUCAGACACAAUGGAGUUGAGGAAAAUUGGACCAGGAGUCAAUCUGUUUGGAACAUCUCAAUUUGGUCCCCAACCUUCUACCUAUCAUUAUUAGGUCACUGAUGACUGACCUCCAUAUACCAUUGCAAUCUUGCCCUUUCAUUGAAUUCCCCAUAGAUGGAAAUGCCCCCACAUAAUCGCCAUAGAAGUCUGCAUGGCAGCUAAAUGAUGAUUACAUGGAUGUCGCUACCCAAUGUUGGAGGAAUUUAACAGAAAGAAUAAGAUAGCUAUGAAUGUAUUGGUUGGGGACCUCAUUGUAACAAAUGAAAGGGCAGGGACCAAACUGUAAUUGUUACAACUUGCAAUGAAGAGUUUGAAAUUUUCUUUAAAAACAGAAAAAAAAACUAACUAAAUCAGGAUGGAUGAGACAAAGAGAACCUUCAAGAGAAAGCAGUGGAUUACUUUACCCUUUGAUCCGACUAAGAGACAGAUUCUGCACUGGAUGAGAGGGCCUGCUAAAUUACAUCUUUGGCUUCUCUUACAACAGGUGACGAUUGUGUCUCCAUCCAAACAGGCUGCACCAAUGUCAACAUUCACAAUGUAAACUGUGGACCCGGCCAUGGAAUCAGCAUCGGUGGGCUAGGCAGGGAUAAUACCAAAGCUUGUGUCUCCAACAUCACAGUAAGAGAUAUCACCAUGCACAACACAAUGACUGGUGUCAGAAUUAAGACCUGGCAGGUAACUCAGAGUUGAAUUCCCUAGAAAACAAAUUUCAAUCCCUAAGUGCACAUCUGGCAAGGUUUAUGUUCUUGCUUUUGUUUUUUUCACUUGAGUUCUAUAUUAUCAAAGGCACCUAGGAAUCAACAAAUCUAAGUUCCACUUUCGGUGUUUUGUUAGUGCUACUUAAUUUGUAAAAUCAUUAAAAAAAUAAAUAAAUAAAAAGGUUCUUGUUCUUCUCUCUUAUUGUUUUCUGUCAUCAAACAAACCAUAGAGAUAUAGAGGUUGCAAAAGACAUCACCAUGCACAACACAAUGACCGGUGUCAGAAUUAAGACCUGGCAGGUAACUCAGAGUUGAAUUCCCUAGAAAACAAAUUUCAAUCCCUAAGUGCACAUCUGGCAAGGUUUAUGUUCUUGCUUUUGUUUUUUUCACUUGAGUUCUAUAUUAUCAGAGGCACCUAGGAAUCAACAAAUCUAAGUUUCACUUUCCGUGUUUUGUUAGUGCUACUUAAUUUGUAAAAUCAUUAAAAAAAUAAAUAAAUAAAAAGGUUCAUGUUCUUCUCUCUUAUUGUUUUCUGUCAUCAAACAAACCAUAGAGAUAUAGAGCUUGCAAACAAUCUGAAAUAGCAAAAUUAAAAAAAAUCAUCCCACAGUGCCUUUUUAAUCAGAGCAAUGCUACUUUACACAAAAAAAGUGGGUAAAAAUCUUACACCUUACCCAUUUAAGGGCCAAUAUUUCCACACAAGCCAUCAAUCCUUUGUUUUUUUUAAUAUUAAAAAACCAAACGAGAUGUCUAAACUCUUGGAUGGGUGGUAGUAAGAUUUAAACCCCACAUAGACAAUGCCAAAAGAGCACUAAACAUCUUUCUUAUUAAUCAUCGAUACCCUUCCGUUGCUUAUUCUACAAGAUAUUCUAAAGAAACAACCUCUCCUUGCAGGGCGGCUCGGGCUCUGUACAAGGCGUAAGGUUCUCAAACAUAAGAGUCUCCGAAGUCCAAACACCAAUCAUCAUAGACCAGUUCUACUGUGACAGGAGAACCUGCAAGAACCAGACGUCGGCGGUAGCAGUAUCAGGUGUUGCGUACGAGAACAUCAGAGGGACAUUUACAGUUAAACCAGUUCAUUUUGCAUGCAGUGAUAAUUUACCUUGCUCUGAUAUAACAUUAAAUGAGGUCGAGCUCGAGCCACUUCAAGAACAGUACCACAUGUAUGAACCCUUCUGCUGGGAAGCCUAUGGGGAGCUGUACACAGAACCUGUUCCGCCGAUACCUUGCUUGCAAAAUGGGAAACCGAUGAGCAACAGAAUCCAGUCGGAUCACGAUACUUGCUGAGGGGCAUGGCUUACUAAGUUUGGUGAUAUUGGUGUUUACUUAUGUGCGGUCGUUGUGAUUAUUCCGACCCCUUUCGCACCAUUGCUUCAGGGUAAAUAUAUAUGAGAGUAUGCAGUUGUUACUGUUACCCAAUUCUGAUGGUUUACAUUGCUUCCCUUUCAAGGGAUAUAGAGAGAUUUAAGUUUCUUAAGGGAAGUGUCGGGUUCAGCAUCUCUGAAGAUGCAUACAGGAGCUUCGUUUGGGGAAGGUGAAUUCCUUGUAUAUGGAAAAUUGAAAUAUAUAUAUAGUAGGGCUACUAUAUUCUUAUGAGUACGGAGGCCUUCGUACUAUAUAUAUAUAUGUUUUGUCUCGAAUUCUUAAUUAAGUGACUACAAGAGCAUAAUGGAAUUCUGGAAGGUAGGUAGUUCAGCACAGAUUGAUUCUACAUGAGCAUAAUUGAAUCCUUUUAAGUUGCAACCAAAAUAAUGGUCUGAUAUAAAUUACCAGUGAAGAAAGUUCUCUGAUAAUCAGAUAAUAGCCACAUAAAGGAAAAGAAAGAAAAUGGUUCCCCAUAGGUGAAUCAAAAGCUCAAAAAUAGAAUUGACAAUUAAGACAAGACAAAAAAAAGCACCAAUAACCAUUGAAAAAACAUAGGCAUUACGACAAUCCUUUUUAUACAUAAGAUGUUACUUUAUCAAAGUUUCGAUUAGAGGUGUAAGAACUUCCUCUGCUCUAUAUACUAUAUUGAAGAAUAAAAAUCAGUCAGCAGACGGAUAACAAAAUCGACAACUAUCAGAACACAGAGAAUAAUGUGCUCUCCUUUGCAUAUUAGCAUAUCAGAAUGAGUGGGUUCCUGAAACAGCUGAAAAAAAAAAUUUCAUAAAGUCAAACUCUCAUAACUUGGGAACGGAUUUAUAUCUCAUAAUUACUACCUUUGAGAUAUGUGACAUAACCAAACUGAACAAAACCAAUUGAAGAGUGAAAAAACUAAAACUGGCAACAUAAUAGAUUCUUAGAAUAAAAUUUUGCAGACUUUUAUUGAGGGUGCUACUAUCUUAAUUUGUAAGCUCUCCCACUCAUUUUAUUCUUUAAAUGUUGAACCAUCUUUAAGGCUUUAUCCAACUCCUAUUAUCGACCAUUCCAACUAACCGUCACUCCCAUGCUUAACAAUAAUAUGAACAAAUCUCUUGAUGCUAUGAUGCCUAUUUGCUCUACCAGCAAUAUCUAUACCAAAUUGGUCAUAGAGCAAAAGAGGCUUGCAUUAGGUAACUUGACCAUUAGAAUAAUACAAUGAUAUGGAUCAUAACAAAACAUUCUUCGAUUAGGAGGUUACCCUUCUAACAAAUUGCACCAAGACAAUUCUAAUGCAGCAACGGCCAAGCUGUCGGACCAAUUGUCUCAAUGCUUGGAUACAGUAAGAUAUAGCAAAGAGUUCUCUCACAAUCCAAGAUGAGCAUAAGUAAAAAAAAAAGGUACGGAAAAAACUAGGAAACUUAAUGACUAAUAAUUGUGAGGCAAUCGAGUGAAAUAUGGGUGUACAAAACAAAAUGGAUAUAAAAAUCUAAUUCACCGAAAAGAAACUAAUAGAUGCACUCCAGCCAAAAGACUACUAGCUAGAAGUAUUAUUGGACAAAUAUUUGUCACAGAUCCAUCAAAGUAUUUCAUUCACUACUAGUUGGCACUUCGUUAUGCAUAAGCAACAGAUGCAAUUGCCAAUUUACAACAUUCAGGAAAAUCUAUGUCAAACAUAUAAUUAAAAUCUAAGAACUCUAGCUAAAAGAAAUAAGCUAUCUCAAGAUUUCUGACUAUGGCCUAUAUGGAAGGAGAAGAAAUCAUAUUAAAAGAAUAGAAAUGCUUACAGUGUUGAUUAUACAAACCUCAUGAUCAAGGCAUACAAAUGUUUAUAACAAUUAGCUACUUAAAAAAAAGAUAUUUAUAAAAUAAAGCAGAUAAAAGAAGGUGCUUGGAAAACAGUGAUAUAACUGCAAAAAAUACAAUAAGAUUACAUCUAUGAUAAGAUUUCCGAAGCAUCAAUAAUAAGAAUGCAGUUCCAACAUGUUAGAAAGUAAAAAUUUGCUACUACAACUAGAUGCCAGUAUAUGGAAUAAAUAGCCAACUGGUUCAGAAACCAUUCUAUUUAGCCAACCUUUGGUAAAAUCUUCACCCAACAGUUUCAUUGUCCUGUAGAUAGAAGAUAAACCAAGGAGAGAGCAGCUAACCAAGAAGAAGGACUUGCUAAUGAAUCAGCGUUGUGAAAAUCCAACAGCCGCCUUUCUCUUUUGAUUGUUACUAACUGAUUCAGGGGUUGGUAGCCCUGUUCUGCUCUCAUACUUCUUUUCCAGAUCCUGUUGCCAAAUAAAGAAAUUAUAAAUAGGGAAGUUGUAGAAUUAAUGUCAUAAGAGCAAAGUAAAUGGACCAGAUGAAGGCACGAAGAAUUAAUGUCAUAAGAGCAAAGGAAAUGGACCAGAUGAAGGCACAAAGUAAUCAAAUUUGUAAGAGUCAAAGAUCUUUGGUUUGCCAGAAUUCAUUCUGACAAUUAAGAAAUUUCCAUUUCACAUGUGGAAAAAAAAAUAAUGAAAAAUGUAUUUUCAAAAAUAGUCUCAUUAAUCGAGUGAAAUAUAUCUAUAACGAAAUCAAUACUUAUAAAUACUAACCUGUAGUUGGGACUGAAUGCUUUCAAGGACAUCAUCAGUCAUUCUAUCAAUAAAAAGAACCCCCUGCAAACCCACAACAAGGAUAUAAAUAGAAACAAGAUCAAAACCAAAGAGAGCAUAAUAUUUCUUCACCAAAAUUAUGCAACUGCAACAUACGGAAAUUAAUUUAUUCACAAAAAGGUAAACCAGAAUUUCUUUUCAAACUAUUAAAUAAUCUUCAGGUCUGAAUUUUCCAACAAUUAAAAAGUAAAUGAAACAAGCAAUCCUCGUGUGACCACGAUAUCAAGCUUCUAGCAUAAUUAGGAGAUGGAAAGUCAUAUGCACUAAAUUUUUCUUACCCAUCCGUGAAUUUUCACCAAGACUCAUCAUGGUCACGCUAAGUGUAACUAAAAUAUGAGAAAGUAGCAUGCAACAACGUCAAUUGUAUAUAGUACCUUCAGAUGAUCAAACUCAUGCUGGAAUACUCGUGCAGGAAGGCCUGACAAACUAACUUUAAACUUCGCUCCAGUUAUAUCUCGAGCAUCAAUUUUCACAGAUGCAGGUCUCUGAACGGAGAAACAAGAAAAUUUGUGGAAGAUUAAUUUCCUUCAUCAACUCUGUUAAUAAGUUUAACAGCAAAAUAGUAGAUCACACUUAAGGUGAGAAAAUGAUAACUACCAUUCUUAUCAACUGAAACAGAAUAACAACCAAAAAAUGAAACAAAACUAAAUCUUAAAAAACAAAAAAAGAUUUUGCAUGCAAGAAUCCACAGAUGAAAUUUUGAUUUUGUUUUAGACUAUCAGAGGGUUUGAAUCAGAAAGGUUAGUAAGUGAUGUCAUUCAGAUGACAGGAUGCAAACUCGAUAAUACUUAUCUAGGAUGCUAUGGUAUGGUUUACUAAUUUGAGAAAAACAAUGUGAAUUGGAAUUUAAUUAAAACUAGAAGAGACAAUACAAAUAAAGAAAGCAAAACUAAUUCACAAGGCAAUCAUAGAAGACUUUCCUACCAAACCUCAAAAGGCCAUAAGUUUUCCACAAAUCAAAAAAAAAAAGUACCACUUUUCAAAUAUACCAAGGGAAGAAAGUGAUCAACCAGUACCAAAAAGUUAAACCAUUAUUCGAGAUUUACCAAUUAUGUAACUCAGCACUUGAUUAAAAUUUGUUGUCCAGGUCGACAGAGAUUAUUUGUUUAAUUUCAAUUAUCAUAGACAAGAAAUUAAAAAGUUUAUAUGAAAUUACAAACUGUAAUAGUCUCUGCUUGUAUGCAGCUCCUCACAAGAUAUCUAAAGAAGUCGUAGAUAAACAGAUGAACUGCGUCUUUUAGAUUUAUGUUGCAUUAGUAGUUUGUGAUUGAUUCGAGCAGGAAACUAAAGAGACCAGGAGAAGCAAUGUGGGAUAGGUGUGGGUCCUAGAAAUUAGAGGAAAUCGCCUCUGGCAUUUGAGAGAAGGAGGGAUAUCUUUCAUACUUUGAAAAAAUAAUAAUUUAGAAAAUAGCGACCUUAGCCAUCUAGGCUUGCAUAGGCUUAUGCAGUUCUCUCAACAACAAUGGAUUAUUAUUAGAUGCUGUGAAUUGAAGCAGUUUAAUGACCUGCAAUCUUCUCAUUUACAUAUGAUAGCAUUAGUUGUUGCGAAUUAAGUUUCCAAAGAAUUUCUAAAGCUUUUCUGAAUUGAUCGCAGAAAAGAAAUCACUGCAUCUAGAUAUUGUCAUCUCGAUUUCUUGAUCAAAAUAACAGGAUUAGGAUUAUAAACAGUGCAUUGCAAGGAAUAUGAAAAGGUAAUGUAAGGUCCUUUUAAGUCACUGCACCACAAAAUCAGCAAAGAACAACAGCCACAAAAAUGGGUAGACAAGCAACACAGGCGAUUCUUACCUCUACAUCUGCAUAUAUUCCUGGAAAUGAUAAGCAACCUUCAUCAUAAAAAAGAGUCUUUUUUGAUGCUUUAUAUAACACUGGAUUCACAAGAACAAUCUCCUCUCCUUCUCCACGCUCACCGGCGGGAUUAAAUACCAUGAGAUGAACAUUAAUUCCAACUUGAGGUGCUGAGAGACCAAUCCCAUCAGUUCUGCAUAUGCCAAACAGGAAAAAAUAUAUAUAUCUCUUUAAAUAUUUAUUCAAGAAUUACUCACAAGAAUAUACUGAUUAUUUUUAGGUAAAAAUGCGUAAAGGUAAUCCGAACUACGAGCCUUUGCAAACGGGUGCCUCAACUUUAAAAGUAUCUAUUUCACCUAACCUUUCUGAGAUUCUAAUUGUAGCACCUCACCGGACUUUUUUUAUAAAACAACCCUCUAGAAUUUUAAAAUUUACGAAAUAAUCCUCUCAAAAUUUUAUUUAGAAAACUAACCCUCCUUUCGCCACAUCGGCGCCACAUCAUAAUUUCUUUUAAAGGCGGUGAAUCGUUUUCCGCUUUCUUCCAUUUCUUUUAAAGGCGGUGAAUCGUUCUCCGCUUUCUCCCAUUUCUUUUAAAGGCGGUGAAUCGUUCCCCGCUUUCUCCCAUUUCUUUUAAAGGCGGUGAAUGAUUGACCGCCUUUCACUUAUUUACUAUAUAAUCCUAACAACCACAAAAAAUUUUAACAAAUCACAUAUAAUCUUAACAACUUUUAAAUCCUAAUAAUUUAUCCAUAUAAUUUCAUACAAUCUUAACAGCCUGAAAAUCCUAAUAAUCUAUCCAUACAAUUCUAAUAAUCAAAUAAAAAUUCUAAUAAUCUACAUAUAAUCCUAACAAUCUCACUUUUAAUGAAUGCGGUGAACGAUUCACCGCCUUUAAAAGAAAUGGAGAAAGCGGGGAACGAUUCACCACUUUUAAAACGAUUCACCGCCUUUAAAAGAAAUGGGAGAAAACGGGAAACGAUUCAUCGCCUUUAAAAAAAAUUCUGACAUGGCGCCGGCGUUGCGAAAGGAGGGUUAGUUUUCCAAAUAAAAUUUUGACAGGGCCAUUUUGCAAAUUCUAAAUUUUUACAGGGUUAUUUUAUAAAAAAGUCCCACCUCACCAUUGUUCGCAAUUGCUCUAGAUAUUAUUGCCUGCAAGCAAUGCAUUCGUAUAUCCGUCUACCACUCCACUAUCUGCCUUUCAUCGCAUUUCACACUCCAAUAUCUAUCACUCACCUCGUUGAAACCUUUCUCCGUUUAAAAUUUGCAUAGUUUCGAAUGUGAUGCAGUGGAAGUGUAAGAUGAGAGGCGAGUGCAAACAAUGGUUCUCGAGCUGUUUGUGCUUGUAGUAGCUGAGUAUUAAAAUCUAAGUUUCAGACAAUUACGUACUAAAACGCAAAUUUUUUAAGUUAUGUAUCAAGCAAACAUUAACUGCAAGUUCAGCUCUCUAUGCAGGGUUUUAUGCUCUCAGAACAUUCCAAAAAUCUCAAAUUUAAUUUUUUUUAAAAAAUUGAAAAGCGAUUAGAGACUCACUUGUACAUAACAUCAAACAUCUCUUGGACAAGCCUCUUUAGGUUUUCAUCGAACGUAUUGAUCCGCUUGUUCCUCGCUCUCAGCAUCGGAUCGGGAUACUCCACGAUCCUCAACGGCGUCUCGAAGCGCAGAUCCGCGGCUAUAGAAGCAACCCAACACAAAAAUCUCACCAAACUUAUCAAAAAAAAAAGUGGGGGGGGGGGGGGGGGGGGGGAGUGCACAACUGCUCCGUGCCGAGAGCGAUGAAGCGGCAUACGAGAGGCCGUAGUCGUCGUGGCGACGAAUUGGGAGGAGAAGCCCGCGGCGCGCGUGGGCGGAGAACGCCAUGGGAGGGGGUGAGAGAGAGGAAGAGGGAAAAGGGCGCAGGGAGAGGGAGAGGGUUGUGAGAGAGGGCGAAGUGGAGCGGAGAGAGAAAGGGAGAGAGGGCGCAGUGAGAAGAGGCGUGAAGAUAGAGAGUCGCCGGGGAGGCGGCCGUGGGCGAGGCGUGGAGUCCGCGUUCGCCAUUCGUGCUCUUUUCGUGACAAUCAAGGUUGUUAGAUACCGAUUUUUAAUCUUAUUGAGCGAAAAUAUACGAAAACCCUCUCAGCUUUGUCUAUUUUGUAUCACAACUCCUCGACGAUCUUUUUAAACUUAUUUACUGAGGUUUUUCAAUAUCUGGUGUUUUUUGCACUGUACUUUUAAAAAAACUAAUUUUUUAAACUUUUAUUAAAGAAGGAGUAAUUCAUGAACGUUGUCAACGACUAAUAGUAAAUUUUUUUUUUCAAAAAAUGCAAAAUUAUAGCAACUCCUCCUUAUCAUAACUUAGCCUGAUUACUUAGCCAUUUGAAUUUUAAAUUGUAAAAAGGGUCAGCAUAAACCUUCAACAGUAGUAUUUAAAAAAAAAAUUAUUAUUGUUUAUUCAGCAAAUACAUUAUAAAGUAAUUAAUUAUAAUAAAAAUAAUAAUAAUAAUUACGAACAUAUCGAAUACAUAAAAAUAUAUAUUUGUGUACGCUACCUCAUGAAAUAAUUUGUAAACCUUUAUACCCGACAUACACACUCAAAAUUUUCUAAAAAAAUUAAGAAUACAAACCCUUAAUAUAAAAUUGUGAGUAAAAAUUAAAUUUUCGAGAAGCAAUCUUGAUAAUAACCACAACAGUAGCUUUCUCAAGUUUUAAUUCUUGAGAAAAUAAUUAAAAUAAGAUAAAAAAUAUAUAUAAUUUAUUUAAACUAUAAAUUAUUUUGAGUUGACUAUUUAAUCUUUUAUAAUUUUAUUUUUAUUAGCUAUUUUUUUAUUUUAUUUAAUCAGAGCCAGUCAACUUUUUAUAAAUUUAAUUAGUAUAAAUUGACUUUAAAAUAUUAUUGACUGAUUUGAAGUAAUAAUUUUUAAAAAAAAAUGGAUAGUAAAAUUAAUUAAUUAAAAUUUAAAAAGGUGAAAUUGCUAAUUCAAACUUCAAAGUGUUCUACGGUUGACAAGUUAUGCGUUCUACAGUUGUGGGCUUAUCACGUUGUCCCCGUAUCUUAUCCGAAACACUCGAUAAACCCCGCCAAUGUCCCCUCCCUCUUCAACCUCUUCGUCCUCUUCCUCCCGCAACCCUAAACCCCCUCUAUCCUUCGCACUACCGAGCUCCUCCCAUGGCGAAGAACCCCGAGAAGAGGAAGGAGCUCACCUCCGUGGAGAGGAGAGUGGCGCGCAUCGCCAGCCACCUCCUCCCUUCUAUCUCUCCCCUCUCUCCCGCGCCUCCGAUCGUGCGAUCCGUGGCUUCGGCCGAGGACAGCUACAGGCGCGUCCAUGGCGAGGUCUCGGCGAAGGAGGCCGCGUGGAGAGAGGUGUGCGAUGAUGAGUCGGGGAAGGGGUUCGUCGACAUUAUCUAUGAGAAAGCCCUCGGGGAAGGGAUCGCCAAGGUAUUGUAAUAGAGAUGGUUCUCGAUUUCUUUUUUUUUCCGUUAAAUAUAUAACUGUUUGUUGAACGAGAUGUAAGUGUAUUCCUUAUUUUGAAAUGUUAAACUCAAAUUGAAAAAUGCAAAUAAGAGCAAAUUAAGCUUCAGGGGUUUACUUCAAAAUGGAUUAUAUUACCCUUUUUUUUAAUGUUAGAUUCCCAUUCUUUAUUUCUUAUGCUCUUCAAACGUUCGCCUAAGGUAUCAAAAGAAAAGAAAAAAAAGGGGGGGGAAUGGGAACUUUUUGCACAAUAUCCUGGCUAAUUUUGACAGUCGUACUAUGUGAACAUCAAUAUUGAUAUAAGCGAGUACCAAAAUGGACAGUGUCAUUUUGGUUGUUAACAGUCACUGUUCUUUUCCAGGUACAAUGUUUGUUGAUUUCUUUUGGUAUAUUUCAUUGUAUUCAAUUUCAUUCCAAUGUGCAUAUAUUUGCACAUGUUCUGGUGAUUUUUGAUUAUUUGACAUGAAGAACUACAAAAUAGGAAACAUAAUGUCCAAUUUCUGUGUAUAGUAUAAUCUGUUAGUCUAAGAACUAAAAUUGCGAAUGACUAAAGCAAUAGAUGUUCCCUGAACUUGUUUAUAUGAUUUCCUUCGGAAAAAAAUGCUUGUAUGAUGAAAAAUAUUCUCAUAUUUCAUAGGAUAGUUCAAACUUGUUGAUACAACAUCUGGUAGCCUGGUAAGUUAUCUAAAUUUUGCACUUUUCUGGAUCUUUCUUACAAAAAAAAAAAAGUCCUGGAUCUAUAUAUUUAUACUUUUGUUUCUUUUAUUUCUCCAGAUCACAAUCAAUCGUCCAGAAAGAAGAAAUGCUUUCCGGCCCCUAACAGUUAAAGAGCUUAUGCGUGCAUUCAACGAUGCUAGGGAUGACAGUACAAUUGGUGUCGUCAUUUUGACAGGAAAGGUAUAUGAUAUUUAAAUAGAUGGCCUUGUGAUAAACGUUUUUAGAUCUCAAUUUUUAAAUUCUUCAAUUUGAUACUAUAAUUUUGUGAUUGUUAAGUUCCACAAUAAAUACUAGGAACUUCACUGCAUACACACACCCUCAUGUGAAUUGAGAAAAAGAAUUAAAAUGUUUGUGAUAUAAAUUCCAUAGGACUGAGCAACUCUGACUGAUAGCUCAGGAAAAUACCUUUUUGUGCCUUUUUAGCCUUUUCUGCUUUUCUCUGCAGAUGGCUACCGUUGGAAUACCUUACCAACUUUGAAUUUUGCAGCCUCCAUAGGAGUGCAAAGCAUCAAUAAUUACUUUACCUUUUCCAUAUAAUAACUCUUAUGCCAAUGCCAUUGUUUACUUUUAACUUAGGGAACCAAGGCCUUUUGCAGUGGUGGUGACCAAGCAUUGAGGAGUUCUGAUGGAUAUGCUGAUUUUGACAGUUUUGGUCGUCUGAAUGUAUUGGAUCUUCAGGUAGAUAUCCUUGUUCUUAUUUUCAUAGAUUUCCUGUUGUUCCUCUUCUUUAAUUGUAUACUAGUAAAUGAGACUUAGGCCAUCAUGAUUCUUGCGUGAGGCUUACGACAAAAAUGUGUUUCUUAGAGGACUAUAGUCUAUAAUCAUUGCGCAUAUUGUUCAUGACAAAUGAGUUGCGUUAAGUACUUCUGAUAUUUUCGAUGCGCUGAGCUUUCAUUGUUAUUUCAGUCUGCAACACAAUGUUUUUGCAUUGAAUUUUGUCACCUUUUCUUUGUUUGCAGAUCUGUUAGUUGAUUGUUGGAAAGUUUGCAUACUUUUACUAAGUGGACGAUAUCCUCAUAAUAAGUGUACUUACAUAUGCCUUGUUCUAGGAAUAGUCUGAGAAGAGGGUCGAUCAGAAAAAUGUUAGUAUAAAGAUAGUAAACAUCUUCUGCCAUUAUAAGACUGAUCUUCUUUUGACGAUGACCUUUCCGCAUAAGAGGAUCUUCUAGUGAAAACUGUGCUAUUUUGAUUCGCUCGCUACUUUACAUCUUUCUGUAAGUUCCAUCUGACUGCUUCAAUAGUUUAAUGAGCAGUCAUCCAGUAAGUAAUAAAUUAUACUUACGGGCUAUCGUCUUUUUACAGGUACAGAUUCGCCGUCUCCCUAAACCAGUCAUCGCGAUGGUAUGAUUAUCACUUUCAAUAUUCUGUAUGCUUAAAUUUUCCUCUCUUUUUUUCCCAAUUAAAUAAUUGACACUCUUAUUUAUGAUUAGGUGGCAGGUUAUGCUGUAGGCGGUGGACACAUAUUACACAUGGUCUGCGAUCUAACAAUUGCAGCUGACAAUGCAGUUUUUGGUCAGACUGGCCCUAAGGUGGCUAUCAUAUCUUUAUUAUUAUCAUUCCUGAAGAAUACUUUGUCUGUUUGUGAAUAAAGUAAAUGUUAGUUAUUUUGAAUAAACAUCAUUGUUGGAAAUGUGAGGUAUCUACUAACCUUAUAGUUAGACAACUUGUGAAAAAUCAGCUACAUGUAACAUACGGGCAUUUCUUAUGCAAGUGGUUUUUUUUUCUUUUUUUCCAAAAUCAUAUUUCCUGGGUGUGCAGAGUUAUCUCUACUUUUAAAAGUCAUCACUAUUGCAUGUGCUUAGGCAGAUAUAUCCGGAUAUUUGGUAUUAAGACAUGAUUGUUGGGCUCCAUCUAUGUAAUAAACAGCUUGUAGGAAAUCUCAGUCAUGAAUCAUGUCAAAUGUGAUGUUGGGGAUCAAUAACUACCGUGUUUAUUGAACUCGUAUGGAUAUUACUCCAUAUAGUCUCUUUUGUGCGAGUUAGUUAGGGGAAGAUACAAAGGUCUUGAAGCGUUGACAGUGAAACAAACCAGUCAGGACUCUUGGAAAAUCAUAAAUUUAGAAAGUUCAAUUUUAUGGAGAAUAGUUGGAAUCACAUUAUUCAGGAUUUAUGAGUUAUAACAACAUAAUUACUGAAGAGUUAAUAAAUUAGUAGUGAUAUGGUUUCUCCUAUCUUGAUGUGUGAUAUAUUGUCAGGUUCAAUCAAAUUGACUGUCACCAUGUUCCCAAAUGUUUCAUCAGCAUGCAUUCGAUUUGAAUAAACAUCAUUGUUAGUUAUUUUGAAUAAACAUCAUUGUUGAUCUUUUUUGUUUUGUAAUGUCUUAUUGCAGGUUGGAAGCUUCGAUGCUGGUUAUGGUUCCUCGAUCAUGUCCCGCUUGGUAAGCUAAAAAUUUGAGGUAGGUGAGUUUCAUGAUAUAUGGCUACCUCUUGCAAAGAGAAUCAGUAUUGAUGUUAUUAUAGCAAGCCUCCUUGUUAGCGUUCUUGCAGAUGAUAUGUCGAGUGUUUACUUCAUCACAAAGGAUAAUUUUGAAACUAAUCAUUCUUUUAUAUGUCAUAUUUUUACAAUGAAUCCUUUUAUAUACUACCUAUUUAUUAUGUUUUCUACUGCAUGUUUUCAUGUUUGGCCAGGUUGGACCAAAGAAAGCACGAGAAAUGUGGUUCCUCUCGCGAUUUUACACUGCUUAUGAAGCAGAGAAAAUGGGACUCAUAAAUGUGGUAGUGCCAGUAAGUUCGCGAAAGAAAACACUAGUUUCCUGUAUCGUCUCUUAUACUAACACUUCUCAGGGACUAGACUGUACAAAUGCAAAUCUGGUGUCUUUACUAAUAUGGUCUUUUUCUUUUUAUUGAGGAUAAUUUACUCGUAUGAUCAUUACCAGCCAAAGAGUCAGCUUUAAAUACACUGCUUAAUCUCGUCUAGUUUAUAAAUUCAAAUUUUAUUUAAGUUUUUGAAAAUUUUCUCACAUUUGUCAACCCAGGUUCUCCCCUUAAUUUUUUUCUGUCUCAAUUUUCAUAAGAUUUGGCUUACCAUCAUCAAAGUCUGGCACCUCUACAUCCUCCUCUACAAAGAAUCACUCAUUCUUGAAUAGUCUUAUACAUACGGGUUGGCCUGUACUUGUUUAAGGAUUCACUGUAUAUUCAAUGAUUCCCUAUAUGUCCUACCUGAAAGACAGAAAGUCUCGUCCUUAGGCAAUCCACAUGCAUCCUUACUGUCAGUUGGUCAUAUUCAAGAAAUAUGUUGCUUAAUGUCAAGAUAAAAAUAAAAAAUAAAAAAAGAAGGAUGCUGCUAUCCUAUGACCGAUCGCCUCAUUAGUCCAGAAUAUCUACAAAUUUAUUGAAAUAAAUUUUAUAUUUACACUGAAAAAAAAAAAAAAAGUUCAUGUGAUUGACCCUCAAAAAGAAGCAAGUUCCUGUAAAUUUGUGGAUUGCGUAGUAUUGGUGGCAACUGGCUACAAUUUUGUCUCAGAUGUGCUGACUGAUUAUAUCCUUUUCUCUUUGUAGCUUGAGAUAUUAGAGCAGGAAACGCUUAAAUGGUGCCGGGAAAUUUUGCGGAACAGCCCAACAGCCAUCCGGGUGCUCAAAUCUGCUCUUAACGCUGUAGACGAUGGCCAUGCCGGUCUUCAGGUACUCUCUGUGCUGUAUAAGUUUGGUCUACAAAUAGCACAAUGGUUUUAUACCAUAAAGAAAUAACACUUUGAUUUAAGGUUCGAUGGUUUAAUUUGUUUUGGGUGGAUUCUGCCAUUCCAUCUCUGAGAAAAAUCAUUGGCUACCAGUUUAACUUUGAUGCAACUAAUUGAGGCAUAAUGAAAAUAUUUGCCUUUUCCGUGCUAUAAAGAAAAGAAAAUGAAGGAUACUGAUGGAGAAUGAACCAAAAUUUGAAAAAUCUGUCUAGUUUGUAUUGUUUGCGCCGUAUUCAAUUUCUUGAGUGCAAUACGAGAAGCUGCUGUAUGCAUAAACUUUACAUAGCGAAAAUGUUAUCCACAUGAUUAUACACAAUAUUUACACUGCACUGAGAGUGUUUAGAUUUAUAGCUUCUGUUUGACAUGCAAGAGCAGUUGCCGAUCUUUGCGCUCAGUCCCUCAGAUUACAGUUGAAUGCUAGAUUAUCAUUUUUCUAGAAAAUCACGCAAAAAUGAUCUGAGCUUGCCACAUUUUUGCUCCCCCUCUCCUUUCUACUGGCACUGCAAGUCUUCAGUAUUUUCCAGUUAAAUUCUUCCCUGAUGCAGGAGCUUGGUGGGAAUGCAACACUCAUCUUUUAUGGCACGGAAGAGGCAAAUGAAGGAAAGACGGCUUACAUGGAGCGGCGACGUCCCGAUUUCUCAAAAUUUCCAAGGAAACCUUAAUGCCUCGUUCUGAUUCUCAUCUCUUAUUUACUUUGUUGUAUGAGAAGUUGCAUGAACGGAGCUCUAAAUCUUUUUUUGUAUUUUAGUAAAUAUAUUAUUCAAUAACAAAAUCAGCUAGAUCAAUAACAUUAUCUUUGUUUAAGCACAGCACCAUUGUUUUGUCUUCUUUUCUUUUUUGUCGGUGUGAAGUGUAAUAUAAAGACAUUAAUAUCAGCAAAAUAUCAUGGUUUUGUUUUUUUGAAAAAGAUUGAGUAAAAUUCAACAACUUUUUAGUGAAAGUUUCCGUCGUGGACUUUUUAACAUUUAUUUUUUUAAUAAAGGUUUUUUUUUUUAUAUAUAUAACUUGGUUUGAUGAGAUCGCGAGGCAAAUCACCAAAUGUCGAUUCGCGCGUACUACGGCAUCGUCGGUUUUAUCCACUUCACAAAUCUCGUACGCCACGUCAGCAUUGCAACUACUGUAUUCCACGUGGCAAACUAUCAUUCGCGGAUUCAAUGUUUCGUGUUCGGGUACAUUGUAGGAGAUCAACCAUCCACGUCCUCUCCCACCGCCUCUUCCAUCCGUUGUUCUAUAACUUACGCCGAAGCGGUGAAUAAAGUAGAAACCGAGAAAGCUCGGAAAAGGGCGAAACGAUGCUUAGGGCUACGGGAAAGAGGUUGCUAGGGUUAGGGUUAGGGUUUCCGCAGCGGGCCUCGCCUGCUGGCGGCGCCGCCGCCGCUGUGGGCGGAGCUCCGGCGGCGAUCCGGGGAUACCAUGAGAGAGUGGUGGACCACUACAACAACCCUAGGAACGUGGGGUCCUUCGACAAGGACGACCCCGCGGUGGGGACGGGGUUGGUGGGGGCUCCUGCGUGCGGCGACGUGAUGAAGCUCCAAAUCAAGGUCGACGAGGAGUCGGGUAAGAUCGUCGACGCGUGCUUCAAGACCUUCGGAUGCGGCUCCGCGAUCGCCUCCUCCUCUGUUGGUUCGUAACAUCUUCGUGUUUGAAAUCGAUUUCUUUUUUUUUUAUUUUUUGGUUUCGAUCUCUUGCAGUUCCGUACUGUUUUGAUUUGCUAUGCUGUAAAUUUAGUUGCUUUUGCUUUUCGUUUCAAUCAGUGGCGUAUUUUAAGAAUAGAAUUAUUGUGAGGGGAGUUGAUUUGGAUUCAAAUUGAGCACAGGUUUUGUUAAGAAUGGAAUUAUUGUUAGGAAACUGAGUAGCGAGUACUCUGGUUUCUUUGAAUUGAUGUAACAACUGAUGAAACAUUUCUGAGAACUGCUCUUUCCUAAUUUUUAUUUACCUAAAACCGGAAAAAGAAAAUUAUGUGCUAAUCCCUGUGUUAUUGCUGCAGUGAUGAGAAGUUUUGGAUUGAAUUGUAUUGCUUGUUCCUCUGUUUUCAUCAUAUUAUUACUCGAUCCCUGAACUUCUCUCUUUAAUGAUUUAGUUCCUGAAUGUUUUCAUUACGAAGGGAUUCAACAAUUGCACUCUUAGCUCUUAUCUGCUAGUCCAAAAUAUCUUAAUUCUUUGCUUCAUGAUGCCCCAUUCCCAGUGUUGGGUUAAUUCUGGCUCUUUUCAAUCAACUGAAUUUGUAAAUCACUCCAUAGUAAAAUUGGAACAAUGUUUUAAUAGUCAAUUUGUAGAAAGAGGGUAUUAUGAAAUGAAUUUCAGUUUUGUACGGCAAACAGGGACGGCGAACUGCAAAUUGUAUUAAAGAUAAGCCUCUAAAUGUUUAAGCCAAAAAUUCAGGGACUAGAUCAGGAUAUUUCAGAAGUUCAUGUGCAUUUUACUCUCAAAUUUUUAUAAGAUUUCUGUUAUGUCUUCUGGCCUGGUGAUGCUGGUUUGGUUUUGCUGCAGCUACUGAAUGGGUGAAAGGAAAACAAAUGGAGGAAGUAGUGUCCAUAAAAAACACGUGAGUCCUGCUCACCUUAUGCUCUCUUAGUACUUAAUGCCCUUUUUCAAUUAUUGUCGAGUGUAAAGAGUUUCUUUUUAUUUUUUGCAUGAUGAAAUCUACUUGAUAGAUGUCUUCUUUUCUUGUUUUUUACUUUAUUCAAACUUCUUAAUUUUUCUACCUUAUAUAGAUGUGGUGAUGGAAAUUUGAAAUCUUAUUUUGCGGAUGGCAAGAAUAGAACCUAAAACAUGAGAUUACUACAGUUCAAGAAAGAAAGAAAGAAAGAAAAGGAAAGAAAAAAAAAUGAUUACAAAAAAUGAAGUGUUGUGUCCUUUUUCAUGGAAGAUGCCCUUUGUAGUGAACAAAAAUCAUGUCUUUGUAUGCUGCAUCCGCAGAGGAUAACACUUAGUCUGACUUAUUAGCUUUACUAUGUCUUACAUGAAAACAAAAUUCUCAUAUUAAAUUAUAACAUCUUACUUCAUUGUCUAGAUUAGUCCCUUCUAUAGAAAUUUAGAUGCCUUUCUUCCAUUAUGGUGUUUGUCAUGUUGGGGCUAGGGCAGCCUGAAUGCCCAGUAUCUACAAACCUUUAUGGUUUUUUUUCCACAAUGUUCAAAGGCCUUUUCAAAUCCAUAGAAGCAGUAAGUGAAGCAGAGUUCUUUCACAUAUGUGACCAAACUGUCUGGUGUAGUCGUCUUUUCUUUUUUGAUUCAAAGUCCCGCUUGUCAUUUUAUAUUCUUUUCUACCAUUCGCAUGGCAGAUUCCCAGUUGCACUGUGGGUGGGAUUGACUUUACAUGUAUCCUUAAAUUAUAAGAUGUCCUUUUAUCUGAUUAGAACCAAAGUAUAGUCUUCAUCAAAUGCUUUAAUUAAUUACUAGGUCAUAUAUAUUGCAGCCGCUUGCGGUGCUUUAUACAUAUUUCCAUGGAAUAAAAGACAUCAUAAUGAAAAUGUUUGAUGUUGUCCCUCCAUAUUUUAGUGUCUUCUUAUAUCACAGAGCAUUUUUGGUGGAGCUAGAUUUCAAAAUCUAGAUCUGAAUUCAUAACUGUUUAGUUGGCAGCAUGAUUUAAAUGCAACACUUUACAUUCUGGUUUUUUACUGCUAACGUAUUUGACCUCGAAGUUGCAUAAUAAUUUAUCUUGGAUCGAAAAGAUAAUCGUUUCGCAAGAAACUGAUGACUUACUGCAGCACCUUUUUGUUAUUUUUGCUAGCUUGUAGUAAAAUAUUGAAAUAGAGUAUCUGUAAUAGAUAUGAUGAGCAAUUGAGGAUGGGAAAGAAUGCGUUAUGCCUUAUCCAGCUCUAUGGAGUGGGAAAAGGCUGGAAAAAGUAAAAGAUGGAGAUUUAGGAUGCGAACAUGAUCAAGAGUUUGUCGUGUCAAAUGUUAUAAUAUUUUGGUAACAUAAUUUAGCAUAAAAAAUCAAUGGUUUUUUCAAUCAGUUUUAUAGAAUGCUUAAAAAUGUUUAAGCAAAAAGUUCAGGGGCCAAGUUGCAAUGUCGAAAUUUUCUUUGUGCUUGUAUAUACUUCCGAUAGUAUUAGAAUAUUUUAUCCUCUGCAUUUGAAUUGAACCUUCUUUUAUACAUUUAUAUAUCGCAGAGAAAUUGCAAAACACCUCUCACUUCCGCCAGUGAAGCUCCACUGCAGCAUGCUUGCUGAAGAUGCAAUCAAGGCUGCUGUAAAGGACUAUGAAGCUAAGAAGGGUUGGACGUCUCAAAAGAGUGACAAUGCCGAAGCAGCUGGGGUAGCCAAUGCUUGAAUUCUGCAAUCUCUUGCUGUCCAAGGAUGUGACUGAUAGCUGCCGGUCUCGUGGGAUGCGCACAUUUUCUUUCAUUAUCAAGUACGUGAGUCGAUACAGAGUGCUUUAUAGCUGGUUUAAGGUGUGGUGUGGGAUGUUUAGUUGUAUAUCCUAAUGCACGAAUAAUGAGGAUCACACUUCUUUCGAGUGGUGAUUUAGACUUCCGCUGACCCUCUCAGCACGAGAAAUCAUAUUUGGUGCAUGUAAAUAAAAAAGAUGAGUCUUAAUGUGCAUAACUAUGGCGCUGUUAUAGUUUUGUUUCAAAAUGCAGGGGCUUGGCUGUUGACGGGCUGUUGACGGGCUGUUGACGGGCCGUUGACCAGUUUUCAUUGAUGAAACGGCUGCGAUACUAUAUCUUCCGGGUAUGUAGGCACUUUGCUUGUUUACACUCCGCCGCAGGUUUUCUCCUGUGUUUACCUUUUAAACCUUUUGUACUCUUUGGAUCUUGAAGUGCUUUAUCUCGAAAUAUAUUGUAAUAUACCGGACUUGUUGUGACCCGCCGAUGAUGAGAAUUUGCUGAGGCGAGGACGGUGACGGGGAUGAUGGUGGCCUCGGACUGCGACUCCGGGUUAAUUGGGUUAAAAAGAGUAAGACCAGGAGGCCAUAGGAAGAAGGGAUGGGAAUUGGAGGUACUGAGAGGGGAAUUGAGAUGAGAGAGAGAAUUGGGGAAGGAUUGUGAGUAGGGUGAGGGGAUAAUUUUGGAGAAGAAGAUAACUAGUUUUCAUUCAUAACUCCCACCUGGUUACAAUUACCCUAUAUUACUCAUCUCCAAGAUCUCGUUCACAGUAGAAAAGGCAAAAACUACAGGGAUUACAUUGCAAAAUAGUAAUUAACUUGGUCGGUACUGGGUCAGGCUUUCGGAUAAGAUCCCCUUCUGUUCCCUCCGGCUUUCCUUAGUGGUCGGAUCCUCUCAUUCAGCGCCUACCCCGAUACCGGUAAGCACCUGCUCCAAUAAGCUUGUUUAUUUACUAUCUAACCCCCUCGACUUGGUCUAGAUACUGUCAGAUCCUCUCCUCCACGACCCUAAUCACCUCGUUGCCCUCUUCUCCUCCGCGCGCGCUCUCACCCCUUCUACUUCCAUGGUCACCCCGACCGUCACAUAUAUCUGUAUCAAAAGUUGUGACCACUAGGGUGCCGAUGGUUCGGCAUCCACAAUCAAAUCACCUUAACAAGUGGGAAAGCGAUGAGAAAACUGUCUUUUGCGCUCAUUCGUUGGCUGUCACAUGAGGUAGGGAAUUUUCACAAAUCACAAAUCAAACUGCCAUCACAUUUGUCUCUGCUAACCACAUGUUCUGUGCAGGUUAGAGCGGGCCAACCAAUAGGUAUAUGGUCCAAGAAUAAUCCAUAAUGCCGAUCUUCUCGACCACAGUACAAAAGCUCGGAAGGUUAUACCCCUCUCUGUUUCUUUGCAAAAGUCGUAUGAGCUGACGUAUCAAAAACAAUAAUGUGACCGGCCGUCUCUAGAGCAAGUGGUAAAGGACUUGAUGGUUGGUACCUGAGAUCCAAGUUCGAAUCCUAGUUGAUUCACAUUUCUAACUAAGUUUAUUUCUAAAUAAAAUAAACGAAGUGAAUAGCAUGCCACCUAUCUCUCAAAAAAAUAAUAAUAAUAAUAAUGUGACCGAAUAGUUCGACUGACUAAACGUUGCCAGCCAAUUGACCACAAAACUAGCCUAUCCAUUUACAUGUGUGACAUAAAAAUGUAAAAAAAAUAAACUUGUAUCUUGAAAAAUAUAUCAGCAGUACGGCUUCGCGAAGCCCAUGAAGGGUCAAAAUUUUCCCUAAUUACCUCCAUCAGUUGUGAGAGUUCGAUUCCAACCAAACGUGUGAUUUUCCUCCACGUUGCUUCAUUCGAAGCCUCCAAUGCCUCUUCAACCUCCUUAACCUACAGCAAAAUAUGAAAUUAUCUUCAUGAGAUCUAGCUACAAAAUCAAUGAUCGCCUCUAUUUUUGAUACGAGCAGAGCAAGAUUUUGUUACAGGUAUAUAGCAACUUUAUUUUUUUGAAGGUGCCACAAGGCGAUUCCAGAUGCAAUCUCGACCGUUAAAUAUUGAUUGGUAAGUCGACAACAAAAGAGGAGUCCAAAUGCAAUCUCAACCGGUAAUUACUACUGGUGGAUCUCAACCGGUAAUUACUACUGGUGGAUCACUCCAUUCACAAUCACUCAUUAUCUAUCCAUAUUAUCACACGUGGAAAAUUUCGCUAAAAAGCCCACUAAAAGCAUUACAUCAUUUUCUUUUCCACGUCCUCCUCUACUCUCUCCACGGCCACCACAAUCAUAUGGUGUAGAAUCCUCAUUCGGCAACCAUUUCAUGUCCUUUCAAUUCAAUCGUACCAUAAAUUUGAAUCCUUCAUAAGUAGGAACAAACUCCCUUACAGCUAUAUAACAACCCCAAAUCCAACCAAGUAUACAAUUUAUUCAUAUAACUUUGAUUUUAGUCCCCUAGCUAGUUUAAAUAUUUUUCACUUUUAGUUCAAAUGGCCCCCAUUGUGCCGACGGCCCCAGCGGCGGGCAAGUCAGGUGGCCGAGUAAUGAAGUCUAGAGCUUAUGUUACGUUUCUGGCGGGGGACGGAGACUACGUAAAAGGAGUGGUUGGGCUGGCGAAAGGGCUCAGAAAGGUCGGGAGUGCGUACCGACUAGUUGUUGCGGUGCUCCCCGAUGUGCCUGAAGCGCAUCGUCGGAUCCUCGCUACUCAGGGUUGCGUAGUUCGGGAGAUCGAGCCGGUGUAUCCACCGGAGAACCACAUCCGAUUCGCCAUGGCAUACUAUGUCAUCAACUACUCCAAGCUGCGCAUUUGGAAUGCAAGUACAUUGAUAUAUAUAUAUAUAUUGCUAUUCGAUAUAUUUAUACGAAGUUCAACUUUAACUGAGUGUUAAUGUUUUGUUGACACAUGUAGUUUGAGGAGUAUAGCAAGAUGAUUUACCUGGACGCCGAUAUCCAAGUCUACGACAACGUCGACCACCUCUUCGACCGCCCGGACGGCUACUUGUAUGCGGUGAUGGACUGCUUCUGCGAGAAAACGUGGAGCCACACCCCGCAAUACAAGAUCGGGUAUUGCCAACAGUGCCCCGACAAGGUGAAGUGGCCCGAGCACGAGCAAGGUCGCAUGGCCUGCGGAGAUGGGGCCGACUCCUCCCCUCUACUUCAAUGCCGGCAUGUUCGUGUUCGAGCCGGGUCGAGAAAUCUGUGAUAGGCUCCUGGAGACUUUGCGGGUUGUACCGGUCACUCCUUUCGCUGAGCAGGUAAUUAUAAUUAUAUAUACUUUUGUUUUUCUUCUUUUUUUUUUAGUAUAAAUAAGAACUUCUUAUUUCAGAAAUAUGUAUAAGUUCAUAUAUAAGUAAGAACUAGACUAAUUUUACGUUUGGAUGAAAAUUGAGUUGUUCUCAUGAAUAAAAAAAAAAUAACGUUGGAUAAAUAAGGUGGAAUAAAAAAAAUAGUAACUAGUUAUAAAAAAAAUGAUGAUAUUGCUUCUCUCAUUAAAUAUGAAUUUGAAUUUUUAAAUUUCAUAAUUAUAUUUUUAUAUUUAAAUUUUUAAUUUUGUAAUUUAAAAUAUCAAAUUGUAAAUUCUAAAAUUCAAAAUUUUAAUUUUUUUUAUUUAAGAUCAAAUUUAAAUUUGAAAAAUAUAAAAUUACAAAUUAUAAAAUUUUGUAAUAAAUUUGAAAUUAUAAAUUUAAAAUUCUCUCUCUAUCUCUCUCAAGCUUGUUCCUAGAACAAGCUUGAGAGAGGAACAAUUCUACCUCCCACCCCUUAACGGGUUAUCCGUAACCCGUUAAGGGACGGAAACUAUCCGUUAAAGGGCGGGAACUAUUGUUCCUGCUUUUCUUUUUUUUGUUUGGAUAUAAGGAAAUGAAUAAGCUCUUAUUCCUUUUCUUAUAUCCCAUUCAAACGGUAUGUUAGAAAGAAAAAAAGAACUACCGUAAAUCAUGCCAUUUCAAUGAAUGGCUCUAAAAAUUUGUUAAUGGAUUAGUUAUAAAUUUAAUCUUGUAAUUUGAACAAUUUAACCCUAUGUAACAAUUAUGUAUAAAGAUACCAAAUUUGUAUUUAACUUUAACUUAGAAAUACUAUCGAGUAGAGAUAAGUCUCUGACACCACUAGAUCGAUCACGACCAGUAAGGAGUCGGAUAGAAAUGGAUGAGGGUGCAGCUUUGAGCCUUAACCAGAGGAAAGAAAAAUUAAAUAAAGCUAAGAACAAAGUGCUUAGUGGUAUUUGAAUUAAGACCCUCCUAUUCUGAUACUAUAUAUAUAUAUAUAUAUAUAUAUAUAUAUAAAACAGUAAACUACUUUAAAAACUUAAUUUGAGAUUCACAGUUAUAGAUAGUGUGAUAAAGAUUAACAUGUCAACCACCAUACAGACUACAGUGGUUGAGAUUCUCUUGUGUAUACUGUUUCGUGUACACUGAAAAUAGUAAAUGUAACAUGCAUGAGAAAAAAAUGGAAGCAUAAAACUCAAUCACCACAAUAUAUAAGAAAAGCGUCAAAAUUAAGGUUAUAACUUUAUUCAAUUAGUUCCUUAAUUAUUUCUUGCUAAUUUUAUACAAUUAACUAACUAUUUCUUGUUGUAUUUUGGUAGGACUUUUUGAACAUGUUCUUUGAGAAAAUCUACAAGCCAAUUCCUCUAGUCUACAACCUGGUUCUAGCCAUGUUAUGGCGCCACCCCGAGAAUGUCGAGCUCGACAACGUCAAGGUGGUUCACUACUGCGCUGCGGUAAAAUCCUUAUCCAUAAAUGCCCGAUUUUUUCAAGCAUUCGCUCCAUCGCUAAUCACUUGAACUUUAAAAAGUUAAAAUAAAUUAUACGGAUUUUGUGUAACGAUAUCGUUUAACAUCUUGCUCAUGAAUCUGUAACAAUUUUCUUAGGAACCUAUGAUUAAUCCUACAUAAAACCAAGUAACUUAAAACCUAGUUUUGAGCUAAGUAGUUAGAUCAAAAAUAAUAAUAUAGUUAAUUUUUAUCCUUGUUUUUAGCAUUUUAAAGUUCGAGUGUUGAUUCUAAUAUUUUGUUUUUUCUGAUGUAAUUUUUAUGCGGAAAGGGCUCUAAACCGUGGAGGUAUACUGGAAAAGAAGCAAAUAUGGACAGAGAAGAUAUAAAGACACUGGUGGCGAAAUGGCUGGACAUCUACAACGACGAUUCGCUCGACUACGUUGCAGCGGAGAAUGCAGUUCUGCAGGAGACUGCUUGCUCACUUUCUCCGAUCGUGACGGUCGUGACGGAGACGUCGAAUAACAGCUACAUUCCUACACCCUCUGCAGCAUAGAAUGAAUGAGUCACUCAAUAGAUCUUACUACAUAGCUAGGGAGCAAAUCCUCUACACUCAUGGGUGUAUACAUUAAUCCCAGGGUUGAGCCAAUGAGAUACCGCCAUAUGGCUCCAACCAAAAGAAAAGGUCAAAAUGUACCCAGGUGGCGGCCACAUGGCGGUAUUUCAUUGGCUCGCCCCUAGAAUUGUAUAUACCCAGCGGUGUUGAGAAUUUUGCCCUCCUUACUAUAGUGGAAUUAAUGAAGUUUCAAGGAGUUCUCCCACAUUUAUGAGGCAAAAAUUGUAUGGACAUAAUGUCUAAAUUAGCAUUUUUGGGAUGCCCUGGAUUGGCGCCACGUGUCUCGCAGACGUCCAUCCCCACCAUCCCUUUUCCUCCCUCUACUUCUUUCUCUCUCUAAAAAAAUCAUAUUUUUUUAAGAAAAAAAAUGGACGGUGAGAUGGACGUCUACGAGCCAUGUGGCGCCCAUCUGAAGUGUUCCCAAAAAUGUUAAUUUGUACACUAUGUCCAUACAAAUUUUGCUCGCAUUUAUGAUGAUGGUUGUAUCUACUAGUGUAAGGAGGAAAUUAAUGAAUUGUAACAACAUGCGAUUAGUAAUUGUUUUCUUUUUUUAAAAUUAUUUUGACUCUCUCUCAUAAUAUAUAUCCAAUCCGACUAGAAAUAUAAAAAAUUGGUGCUUCUAAAUUUUUAAUGCUUGAAUCAAUCUCUUUGAUCAUUUCUAAUUUUUAGAUUAAUAUUAUUCUCUUAAUAAUAUUAGGUUGGGGGUUAAGAAGUGGAAUAACUCCUUAAUCCCCAUAUUAUUCCCAAACACCCCAAAAAAUAGGUCGGGUUAGCUAACCUCACCUCAAAUGGGCUAUCCCGGGUUAGCUAACUCCACCAAACCCCACCAAACCCCAACCAAACACUAUUUUCUAUUCAUAAUCCAACCCAACACUAUUUUUCACUAUCCUGUACUAACUCCAAUCCCAAACCAAACACAAAAAUACUCUAACCCCACCUUAACCCUAAACUUAAUCCUAUCUAUGGAAUAACUAGUUUUUUCUUAAUUCCGAACCAAACGGUAGCCUCCAUUUUUCUGCAAAUUUUCUAUUUUGUGAUAACUUUAGAAAUUUUUUUUUAAAAAAAAAUUGUUUAGAUCUUGAUUACUGAUUUCGGAAAUAGAAGAGCUGUUUUGGUGUUUAAUUCUGCUAGGAAAAAAAAAAAAUCGUUAAGGAGACUCGUUGCUACAUGUCAUUUUUAUCCCCUAUUAAAAAAUUAUAAUUUUUUCUAAGAUUUUAUUUAUUUUUUAUUUUAGUAUCAAAAGAUACUGAACGAAUUAUAGAAUACGUACANAAAGGAAAAAAGAAAAAAAAAAAGUCUCAUUUCAAAUCUUACAUGACCUAGAGUACAUUUUGAAAUGAGUCUUUAAUUAUUUUUGUUUUAGCACAAACCUAAUUUUGUAAUUAGAUUCUUAACCUUUACGACUAAUUGCACUAAUGUUCCUUUUGUCAGUUUAGUCAUUAACAUCGUCAACCAUACACCCGCGCAUCACAUCAAGUCUCACUUCAGCAUCGUUAAUGUCGUUUUCCACGGCUAUGAGCAUCUCAACUUGGUGCCAACUGUUUCUUUUAAAGCAUUCGGCGUCUUUGCAUCAAAGAAGUCUUGCCAUCAAAUUCUUUCAAAAAUUUAAAGAAGUCUAAGCCCAAACUGAGCAUAAGCUAUGAGACUAUGACUGAAAUUUAUGAGAGCAAACUUGAUUUUAUUGGAAUUGGUGUGGCAUUUUCCAUCAAAACUAAUAGAAAUUCUGAUGGUCAAAACCCAACUGCAAUAAAAUAUAAAGGUCAGGCAGCGUUUGGUUAGGAGAUAGGAAUAGGAAUAGGCCCUUAUCCCCACCAACACCUUCAUUUUUUAUAUAAAACCACUACAACAGAAUUAGAUUAUAGAGACACAUGUUUGGGACACUUUUGAGUAAGUGUCCCAUUUAUGUUAAAACUUAAAAAAAUAUCUACUAAUGCCUAAAUAUAAAGCCCAAUCCAACCAAAAAUAAAAGAUUUCUCUACUCAACCCACCACGCCCAGUCCAUUUGGCCCGAUUACAAAUAGAAAAGAAAAAAAAAAAAUCAAUUACCAUAUUUUCUUCUCUCUUCACUCAAUCCACUGAAAUUCUAGACGAAGAGCCAUUCCUGUCGUCCUCCUCCGCCACCGCAGCUAACGAGAUAGAGUUUCGGCAGUUGCUAAAUGCUUAAAUAAGUGUUGGUAAAUUAGCAGCAUUUUUUUAGGUUAUAGCGACACUCUUUAACUGUCACUAUAUACCUAGCAACCCUACAUAUAGCAACACUUUUUAAAAGUGUCGGUAAUUUUAGCUAGCAGUACUUUUUUGACAUGUACAUAUAUUUAAAAGUGUCGCUAUAGACCGUUUUUGUUGUAGUGAACUGUCUAAAAUUGUUCUUAUUCCCGAGAACAAUCCAAUUUUCAUCCAAACAUUAUUUUUCUUAUCCCCAUACUUGUACCUAUCCCUGUAAUAGCUAGUUUUUGCUUAUAUCCGAACCAAACGGUACCUGAGAACUAGUAGCAAAAAAAUUAAAAAAAGUUAGGAAAUAAAGUGAAAAGGCGGAUAAAGGUUAAGAACAAAUUGUGGAAUUAAUU